ACGAGGGGGGCAAGCGUUGUUCGGAAUUAUUGGGCGUAAAGGGUGCGUAGGCGGUUUGAUAAGUUCUGUGUGAAAUCUAUGGGCUCAACCCAUGGUCUGCACGGAAAACUGUCAGGCUUGAGGACGGGAGAGGUGAGUGGAAUUUCCGGUGUAGCGGUGAAAUGCGUAGAUAUCGGAAGGAACACCUGUGGCGAAAGCGGCUCACUGGACCAUUUCUGACGCUGAUGCACGAAAGCUAGGGGAGCAAACAGGAUUAGAUACCCUGGUAGUCCUAGCCCUAAACGAUGAUUGCUUGAUGUGGUGGGUACCCAAUCCCGCCGUGUCGAAGCUAACGCGAUAAGCAAUCCGCCUGGGGAGUACGGUCGCAAGGCUG
This 373-nucleotide ribosomal RNA is filed under the name uncultured bacterium. RNAcentral describes it as "bacterial SSU rRNA". It matches the Rfam family "Bacterial small subunit ribosomal RNA", at positions 525 to 896 of the family's 1533-position model. The record is from RNAcentral.